Molecule: long non-coding RNA, 1019 nt
Organism: Rhipicephalus microplus (southern cattle tick)
Lineage: Eukaryota; Metazoa; Arthropoda; Arachnida; Ixodida; Ixodidae
Source: RefSeq, a predicted model, not a curated record
GUCAUCUGUGCUGCCAGAGAACACUUACCACUUGGUGCUGUUCUCUGCUCCCAGUCACUGUCGGUAUCGCGUACUGCUGCGUGUGUUUUGCACACACAUUCACGAAAGUCGCUUUUGAAGGAUAAGUUCGACAAAAUGCCGCGUGCAUGUGAUGUUGCCGGAUGCCCCUAUGGGGCACGCCGCCACUACUGUAGCAAACCAACCGAUGUGGCUUUUCACUGGUUGCCGCACAAUGAACCUGUAUGCUCCAAGUGGCUGAGUGCCGUGCCAGCGGGCUAAACAGACAACAAAUCUGCGUGUGUGCUCGCUGCACUUGCGCCCCAGCGCCGUUCCGUCGGUAUUUCCCGAGUCCGAGAGUCAGCCCGACACCCUGCACAAGUUGUCGGUGUCCAACGACCUGCAACGACGUCAGCGGGACGACGAUGCGACUGAUUGCGUAGAAUCCGGAAAGAGACCUUCUGCAAGUGGUACCUGCACCAAUAGUGACACGAAGGGGGCUGUUCAUGCGGAAAUGCAGACACAUCGUUCUUCGAGUGCUGGCUGCUUGGGCAACUACAAAACGGUGCAAGUUCGUCCGUAUGGCACGAGCAUUGCGACCAGUAUACUGGACAUACCAAUAAGGCGGUGCAGAAAUGCAAGCAGAUCCUCAAUUGAAGCCAAAACCAUUUUUUCAGCUGCUGUAAGAGGUACCAUGUGUCUCUCUCGGAGCAAAUUGGAGGCAAGCAUAGAGCUCAGUGGAUGAAUAAAAUAACCCAUACUGGUGCUCUUAUAUCAACUACAUUCGAAGAUUUCAGGAUCAAAUAUUUGCGUCAAUGACCACACGUUAACCCCUUAAAACCAAAAGUGCCUAUUCUUUUAUUGCUUAUUUAGAAUCCCAUUGUACUAAAAAGCAGCUAGUCGAUAUUGAGAAAUUAUUUGUGCUACAUACUUAGUCAAAUCAAAAUAAUAGUUUGUUUCUGAACAACACUUUCAAAACAAGCUGCCUGCUGCUAAUAAAAAUAAAAGGCUUAUAAAGACAA